RNAcentral lists this long non-coding RNA (308 nucleotides) under Capsicum annuum. RNAcentral describes it as "long non-coding RNA (CANN_LNC006642)". The record is from RNAcentral. Lineage: Eukaryota; Viridiplantae; Streptophyta; Magnoliopsida; Solanales; Solanaceae.
GGUGGCUAUGUAGUACACUCCCACCCUUAACUAAAUAUUUAUGCACUAUCUGUAGUGCAUCUAGAAAUAUAGAACAUAGGGGAUAAGACAUACCUAGACACCCUAUGCGCUAGAUCAAGAAGGAUCAAAUGCGGGACCUCAGACUUGGCUCCACUCUCAACAUCAGUGGUCCUAAUAGUAGCCAGGACACUUUUAGCAAUAGUGGCAUCGGUGGUGAUAGGUACACUCAAUAGUGGCUCAGCUGGAGGGGUUGUACUACUGCUUGGCUUAACAAAAUCAAUGGGUCUCAAACUACCAGCCCCCGCCGC